Molecule: ribosomal RNA, 416 nt
Filed under: uncultured Sphingobacteriales bacterium
Lineage: Bacteria; Pseudomonadati; Bacteroidota; Sphingobacteriia; Sphingobacteriales
Description: bacterial SSU rRNA
Rfam family: Bacterial small subunit ribosomal RNA
Source: RNAcentral
GGAACCUUACCUGGGCUCAAAUGUAUGUUGACGUAUUCGUGAAAAGGGAUACUUCUUCGGACAAUAUACAAGGUGCUGCAUGGUUGUCGUCAGCUCGUGCCGUGAGGUGUCGGGUAAGUCCCAUAACGAGCGCAACCCCUAUCAUUAGUUGCCAUCAGGUCAAGCUGGGGACUCUAAUGAAACUGCCUACGCAAGUAGUGAGGAAGGUGGGGAUGACGUCAAAUCAGCACGGCCCUUACGUCCAGGGCUACACACGUGCUACAAUGGCCGAUACAGAGGGCAGCUACCUGGUGACAGGAUGCAAAUCUCCAAAGUCGGUCUCAGUUCGGAUCGGAGUCUGCAACCCGACUCCGUGAAGUUGGAUUCGCUAGUAAUCGCGCAUCAGCCAUGGCGCGGUGAAUACGUUCCCGGGCCUU